GGCCCCACGAGUGAACACGAAACUGCACUGCGGGUGUUUACUGAAGAUAAAAUGUCAGCAGCUUGACCUGACUCCCAGAGGGCCGCCUGGCUCGUUGAUGAAUUACACCUCAGGCGCUGGUUCUGGGACGUGGUUGAGAAAUCAAAGCCAGGGAAAAGGGCACAAAGUGAAACGAGAGACUUUUGAGUCACGUUGUUUCAGUGAGUAAGGUGUCGCUUUUAAAGUGGUUUUCCCUUGACCUGGGAGGGGGGAUGUUGAAUUCUCUGGCCGUGAAUUGAAAAUGUGGCGCCACCUUUCAGAACAGACAGUCCAGGGAUCAAUCAGUCCUGUCGGAGCGAGGGACGGCUGUGAUUAACGUAAGGCAGGGCUCCUAUUGGGUCCAACCUUUCCUGUUUUGCUGUGCUCACUAUUCUGUCAUUGGGCAUUGCUCAGGGUUAGCUCCUGCUGUUUAACAGCGACAGUCCAUGUUCUUCCUGCAGUCAGAAAGCAGCGAUGGCUCUGUGCGUGCUACUCGUCCUUUACUGCUUCUCUCCGGUCCUGGCCAGUUUUGAUUGGAACAACAAGACCUGCUUUGAUGGAACCAUAAACCCGUGCCAAGACCUGCGGUCAGCUGUCAAAUGCGACGCGGUGCACCACUGCGUGAAGACCGUGUGGAGCCAGGCGAAAGUG
Non-coding RNA from Chiloscyllium plagiosum (whitespotted bambooshark), 669 nucleotides. The record is from RefSeq and is a predicted model, not a curated record. Lineage: Eukaryota; Metazoa; Chordata; Chondrichthyes; Orectolobiformes; Hemiscylliidae.